UCCCUUUAACACUUUAACCCAACCAGCUGAAGCAGCACAUGUGGGUCACCUUGGAGACAGCCGACCUGCCAAUCUGAAAGAGACCGUUUUCCUUAACUUCCAGGACUGGGGGAGUUAACGGUUUGACCGGACUCUCUUGCUGAAGUCCCACGUCUUCAGGGUCAUUCGACUUGCAAAUUGACUUGGCUCCUCUCACACACCCAUGUUUAGGGGGCAGUGGCCAGCAUGGUGUCUUCCAUAGCCCCGGAACGGAAAUCAGGUUGGGCAGCGUGACCAACGGCUGAAGCACGACGGCAGGAGGAAUGACUAGAUGGGAUUUAAGGAUGGCUCCCGGGGCCGCAGCAUCAGAGCAAUGUCAAGAACACACCUUAAGGGAGAGAAAGACCGUUGUGAGGGCUCUCAGGAGCAAGCGCCUAUACUCUCUUGGCAACUUUCCUCGAUGUCCGGUGUCCACGCCCCUCCUAGCUUUGAGCAUCGCUGUCUACUCGUCCUUGAGAGCGUCAGCAAGAAGGAGAUUACUCUGCCGUUUUCAACCAUCCCUCAUCCCAAUCUUACCAUACUUAUCCUAGACUGGGUCUUCCAGGACCAGAUCUGUGUCUGAUUCACCUCUGUGUUCCCAAAAUUGAGUACCAGCUGGUACAAGAGUGGGUUCCUAC
Molecule: non-coding RNA, 656 nt
Organism: Mus caroli (Ryukyu mouse)
Lineage: Eukaryota; Metazoa; Chordata; Mammalia; Rodentia; Muridae
Source: RefSeq, a predicted model, not a curated record